RNAcentral lists this transfer RNA (72 nucleotides) under Salmo salar (Atlantic salmon). It matches the Rfam family "tRNA". From Rfam's summary of the family: Transfer RNA (tRNA) molecules are approximately 80 nucleotides in length. Their secondary structure includes four short double-helical elements and three loops (D, anti-codon, and T loops). Further hydrogen bonds mediate the characteristic L-shaped molecular structure. tRNAs have two regions of fundamental functional importance: the anti-codon, which is responsible for specific mRNA codon recognition, and the 3' end, to which the tRNAs corresponding amino acid is attached (by aminoacyl-tRNA synthetases). tRNAs cope with the degeneracy of the genetic code in two manners: having more than one tRNA (with a specific anti-codon) for a particular amino acid; and 'wobble' base-pairing, i.e. permitting non-standard base-pairing at the 3rd anti-codon position. Lineage: Eukaryota; Metazoa; Chordata; Actinopteri; Salmoniformes; Salmonidae. The record is from Rfam by way of RNAcentral.
UCCUGUGUGGCUCAGUUGGUAGAGCAUGGUGUUUGCAAUGCCAGGGUUGUGGGUUCAAGUCCCACGUGGGAC